RNAcentral lists this ribosomal RNA (1160 nucleotides) under Apilactobacillus kunkeei. RNAcentral's name for it is "bacterial SSU rRNA". It matches the Rfam family "Bacterial small subunit ribosomal RNA", at positions 353 to 1506 of the family's 1533-position model. Lineage: Bacteria; Bacillati; Bacillota; Bacilli; Lactobacillales; Lactobacillaceae. The record is from RNAcentral.
AGUAGGGAAUCUUCCACAAUGGAGGAAAGUCUGAUGGAGCAACGCCGCGUGAGUGAUGAAGGUUUUCGGAUCGUAAAACUCUGUUGUUAAAGAAGAACAAGUGUUAGAGUAACUGUUAACACUUUGACGGUAUUUAACCAGAAAGCCACGGCUAACUACGUGCCAGCAGCCGCGGUAAUACGUAGGUGGCAAGCGUUGUCCGGAUUUAUUGGGCGUAAAGCGAGCGCAGGCGGUUUUGUAAGUCUGCUGUGAAAGCCCUCAGCUCAACUGAGGAAGUGCAGUGGAAACUACAAAACUUGAGUACAGAAGAGGAAAGUGGAACUCCAUGUGUAGCGGUGAAAUGCGUAGAUAUAUGGAAGAACACCAGUGGCGAAGGCGGCUUUCUGGUCUGUUACUGACGCUGAGGCUCGAAAGCAUGGGUAGCGAACAGGAUUAGAUACCCUGGUAGUCCAUGCCGUAAACGAUGAAUACUAGGUGUUGGAGGGUUUCCGCCCUUCAGUGCCGCAGCUAACGCAUUAAGUAUUCCGCCUGGGGAGUACGACCGCAAGGUUGAAACUCAAAGGAAUUGACGGGGGCCCGCACAAGUGGUGGAGCAUGUGGUUUAAUUCGAUGCUACGCGAAGAACCUUACCAGCUCUUGACAUCUUCUGCCAACCCAAGAGAUUGGGCGUUCCCUUCGGGGACAGAAUGACAGGUGGUGCAUGGUUGUCGUCAGCUCGUGUCGUGAGAUGUUGGGUUAAGUCCCGCAACGAGCGCAACCCUUAUUAUUAGUUGCCAGCAUUUAGUUGGGCACUCUAGUGAGACUGCCGGUGAUAAACCGGAGGAAGGUGGGGACGACGUCAAAUCAUCAUGCCCCUUAUGAGCUGGGCUACACACGUGCUACAAUGGAUGGUACAACGAGUCGCGAAACCGCGAGGUCAAGCUAAUCUCUUAAAGCCAUUCUCAGUUCGGAUUGCAGGCUGCAACUCGCCUGCAUGAAGUUGGAAUCACUAGUAAUCGUGGAUCAGCAUGCCACGGUGAAUACGUUCCCGGGCCUUGUACACACCGCGCGUCACACCAUGAGAGUUUGUAACACCCCAAAGACGAUGGGGUAACCUUUAGGAGCUAGUCGUCUAACGUGGGACGCAUGAUAAAGGUGGAGGCCAACAGGGUUACCGUAAU